RNAcentral lists this ribosomal RNA (253 nucleotides) under uncultured bacterium. Its description in RNAcentral is "partial 16S ribosomal RNA". It matches the Rfam family "Bacterial small subunit ribosomal RNA", at positions 524 to 776 of the family's 1533-position model. The record is from RNAcentral.
UACGUAGGUGGCAAGCGUUGUCCGGAAUUAUUGGGCGUAAAGCGCGCGCAGGCGGCCUUUUAAGUCUGAUGUGAAAUCUUGCGGCUCAACCGCAAGCGGCCAUUGGAAACUGGGAGGCUUGAGUACAGAAGAGGAGAGUGGAAUUCCACGUGUAGCGGUGAAAUGCGCAGAUAUCGGGAAGAACACCCGUGGCGAAGGCGGCACUCUGGGACGGUACUGACGCUGAGACGCGAAAGCGUGGGGAGCGAACAGG